UACGUAGGGGGCAAGCGUUGUCCGGAAUCAUUGGGCGUAAAGCGCACGUAGGCGGCUUCUUAAGUCAGGGGUGAAAUCCUGGAGCUCAACUCCAGAACUGCCCUUGAUACUGAGGAGCUCGAGUCCGGAAGAGGUGAGUGGAACUCCGAGUGUAGAGGUGAAAUUCGUAGAUAUUCGGAAGAACACCAGUGGCGAAGGCGGCUCACUGGUCCGGUACUGACGCUGAGGUGCGAAAGCGUGGGGAGCGAACAGG
This 253-nucleotide ribosomal RNA is filed under the name uncultured bacterium. RNAcentral describes it as "partial 16S ribosomal RNA". It matches the Rfam family "Bacterial small subunit ribosomal RNA", at positions 524 to 776 of the family's 1533-position model. The record is from RNAcentral.